GCCUAAAGCGUCCGUAGCCGGCUUUGUAAGUUUUCGGUUAAAUCUAUAUGCUCAACAUAUAGGCCGCCGGGAAUACUGCAAAGCUAGGGAGUGGGAGAGGUAGACGGUACUCCGUAGGAAGGGGUAAAAUCCUUUGAUCUAUGGAUGACCACCUGUGGCGAAGGCGGUCUACCAGAACACGUUCGACGGUGAGGGAUGAAAGCUGGGGGAGCAAACCGGAUUAGAUACCCGGGUAGUCCCAGCUGUAAACUAUGCAAACUCAGUGAUGCAUUGGCUUGUGGCCAGUGCAGUGCCGCAGAGAAGUCGUUAAGUUUGCCGCCUGGGAAGUACGUACGCAAGUAUGAAACUUAAAGGAAUUGGCGGGGGAGCACCACAAGGGGUGAAGCCUGCGGUUCAAUUGGAGUCAACGCCAGAAAUCUUACCCGAAGAGACAGCAGGAUGAAGGUCAAGCUGAAGACUUUACCAGACAAGCUGAGAAGUGGUGCAUGGCCGUCGCCAGCUCGUGCCGUGAGGUGUCCUGUUAAGUCAGGUAACGAGCGAGAUCCUUGCCUCUAGUUGCUACCAUUACUCUCAGGAGUAGUGGGGCGAAUUAGCGGGACUGCCGUAGUUAAUACGGAGGAAGGAGAGGGCCACGGCAGGUCAGUAUGCCCCGAA
RNAcentral lists this ribosomal RNA (654 nucleotides) under uncultured archaeon. RNAcentral describes it as "bacterial SSU rRNA". It matches the Rfam family "Archaeal small subunit ribosomal RNA", at positions 508 to 1160 of the family's 1478-position model. The record is from RNAcentral.